AAGGAGUGUCUUGUAUGUGAACAUGUAUAUAGCUUGUGUGGUUGGGAAAGAAUACGAUUGUGAAUUGUGGUUUAAAUGUAUGUGAAUUGGGAAAUGAAUAAAACAUGAUUUUCUAGUGUGUUGAUGAUGGUAAUUAUAGAAUCUAUUGGUGAGAUUCUUAGUGUUUAGAAUGAAUGUAGAGGCUUUCAUAUGGGGGGUUAUCCCUAAUACUCUAACGAUCUUUCAUUCUCACUUAGAGAGGAUUGACGCGUGUGGCGAGAGUAGUGGGAGGUCCUAGGGUAGGCACUAUCACUGGAGGUUUAUUUCAUGGUAACAAACUAACCUUGUGUGUGGUCGGGUGAAACCCCUCGGCAAUGGCUUUGCAAAGCAAUAUAGGCCACCACAAGUGUAUAACC
This 395-nucleotide long non-coding RNA is filed under the name Vigna radiata. Its description in RNAcentral is "long non-coding RNA (VRAD_LNC014003)". The record is from RNAcentral. Lineage: Eukaryota; Viridiplantae; Streptophyta; Magnoliopsida; Fabales; Fabaceae.